CGCCUGAUGGACGUCGACCGGCGCACGGGUGAGUAACGCGUAUCCAACCUGCCCCACACCAAGGGACAACCCGCAGAAAUGUGGGCUAAUACCUUAUAUUUCCACCAAGGGCAUCGUCGAUGGAACAAAGAUUUAUCGGUAUGGGAUGGGGAUGCGUCCGAUUAGGUUGUUGGCGGGGUAACGGCCCACCAAGCCCUCGAUCGGUAGGGGUUCUGAGAGGAAGGUCCCCCACAUAGGAACUGAGACACGGUCCUAACUCCUACGGGAGGCAGCAGAU
RNAcentral lists this ribosomal RNA (277 nucleotides) under uncultured Prevotella sp. RNAcentral describes it as "partial 16S ribosomal RNA". It matches the Rfam family "Bacterial small subunit ribosomal RNA", at positions 78 to 354 of the family's 1533-position model. The record is from RNAcentral. Lineage: Bacteria; Pseudomonadati; Bacteroidota; Bacteroidia; Bacteroidales; Prevotellaceae.